CUCUCUUCCCUGCCUCCCCUCGCGCCGCCGGCCAUCCUCCCCGUCCGCCGCCGCCGGCCAUCCUCCCCGUCCGCCGCCGCCGGCCAUCCUCCCCGUCCGCCGCCGCCACUGACCAGCCACAGCUGCGCUACCAUCCCCUCCCCUUACCUCGAUUCAGAUCCUCUCCUCUGCUCUUCUCUUGUUCCUUCUCUCCUGACCCCCUCACUUGUUUGUUCGAUCUAGAGCAGCAGCCACCCUCCAUGGACGAGGACGACCACCACAGCAACGACGGCGCCCCUCACAUGGUCGAGCUCGACGGAAGAGUGCUCGCCAUGGCCGCGUUCGUCUGCUCCGGUGUGGUGCAGCCGAGGUUGGCCAACGACGAGGUCGUGUACCACCGCCUCGAUGGCUCCUAGCGCGGGUAAGCAAGGCAGCACCCCCAUCCCCAUGGUCGUUUCAGUUUUCAUAGGCUCCUUCUUCUUUUUGUGUGCUGAUGACACCUGCUCUUCUCCAUGGAGUUGACAAGAUGGAGAUCCUUGCCAUAUCUUAUAUUCUUUAGUUGUCAAAUGUUCACUCAGCUAUUCAGAUUGCUGCAUCUUGUCUUCCAGUUUUUCUUCAUAUUAAUCCAUGCUAUGGAUUAUGACAAAUAGAGCCGACAAUUUGUGCCUUAUAACUAUGGGGUCAGGAUGGUAUUUAUGCAUCUACUGAUACUGUUUGUGUUUGCAGUUUAGAAUCUUAACGCUUGAUAUUGACUUUCCAGGGGAUGUAUUUCUAAUGUCCAGGUAAACCGGUUUACAAUGCAGAGGUCCCUUCACACUACAGGAAAGUGACAAUCAGUAAAAGUUAAGGUCAGACUUUGGAGAAGGUAAACAUGUAUUCUACAUAUGGUUACUUUUAUGUGCUUUUAGAUAUAUGCAGUUUCUUGGGUGACUAAGAUGGUGUAGAGGCUCUGCCAGGAUUAUUUGUAUUUUCUGCCACCAAAUAAGCUGUUACAAAAGGAUAACAAAUGCAAUAUCUGUUCUGACCAAGCUGAGUUCAAAAUUAACUAUAAGAACAGACAUUUACCAAUAAGGAAAUCUGAUAGGUUAUGUGUUGUUAUCGUGUAAAAUAGCAGCAAGACAUCACUACUGAGAGAUAUUUAUGCCUGCAUCAUGAUAGGUCUCCUUCCAAGUUAGUUGACCUGUUUUUUCGAUCCCAAGUUUAUUGGCCUGUUUUUUUGUCCUUCCGAGGUUAUUAUUCAGUUUUUUGUGCAUGCUGAACUGGCAUAUUUAGUGGCGAGUUUGGUGCUUCUAUCACUGUGUUCUUCGAGAAUCUCAUCAUAUCUCUCUAUCCUAGGAAUUAUAUGACCACUUCCAUGGAAAAUAACAUUUAAGAGAAACUUCAUCACAAACUGUCUUUGGUGUGAUAUUUAUAGACUGUCUCCCACAACAGAUUAUUGACAUCACAAUUGAGAGAAGCUUUGAUUUCACUAUAUUCUUCCUUUUGAAAUUAAUAUUUUUUGUAGACAACAACACUACUCAUUUUAGUGGAGGAGGCAGCGACUCUGACAGUUUGGAGAGUUAACACAUCUGGUUGCAGGGCGUUAGAGGAUUUGAGUAGAGGCUGGCGAGUGGUGUCCACAGAUUGUACAGCGACCAAGCGGCGUGAAGAAUCAAUGUGGAUCUAUCAUUACCAUAUGGACUAGGUAUGUAAAGUUAUUCCUCUGGUAUGCUUUAUUGUGGCCAUACGGCCUUUUAUGUUUCAUUCCUUUUGUAUUUCUGUCAACAGAAAAUGUAGAGCCGCACCUUAAUUGUCAUGGUGAUGUUGGAUGGCAUGGCAGUUGUCCAGUUCUAUUAUUUUAAGAAGUCAAUGUGUGUAUAUCUGACAAAGUGAUAAUCACAUUAGACUAAAAAGCUUAGAAGUAGAGUUUAAAAGAAAAUUCAGAAGCAUUGGAGGCUCAUGCUUGUACUAUCAUGUUUUAUGCUCCAGUUAGGAGUGGUGUUUCUAAAAUAGAGAUUAUUGAUUUUCACAUAUAUAACCUGUGUUCAUAGUAGCAUCCCUGUCUCAUUCUUUCUUUUCCAUUUUCUUCUCCCUCUAAAUUGUGGAUCUCCUAUUCAAAUUAGUAAUCUUUUCAACUCUUUUUAUAACUUCGCAGGUUUCAGAAAUAAGAUGUUUGCUUUAUUGAACUAAGAUGUUCUCUUUUUGAGAGAGUAUUGCGCUAAGAUGUUUUAUAUUCCUUGGAUACAAGCUCCGUGAACCAUUCAUGUAGUUACCAAUUUUAGACAGAUUUUGUUUCAGUUACGAAGGUUUAGAGGGAUACAUGAAUGAUCUGGAGUUUCAGUUAUCAUUUGAGCUACUUCCCCAUUCGUAUUCUUAACACUAAUACAUCCUAUUAAUAUUAAUUAAUUAUGAUGCUGCCAUGUUCAUUUCUGCCCUUGGAGGGAGAUGGACUUAUGGUGCUGCCAGCGCAGCACUUAAGGGCUUGGAGGUUGACAAGGCGAAAGAGGCCUGUUGUCAGCCACCAAAUUAUGAUGUUGAGUACUGCCCGAGCGGAAGAUAGCAAGGCGGUUGACGUAGGACACGGAGUAAGCAGAGCUAGCGGCAGUGGACGCAGCUACCACGUCGGUGGGCGCACCAGAGGCACAACACAAGGUGGAUCAUCGAGGAUGUAGUGCACAUCAAAGCAGUCGCCGUCCCGCGGUAAUACAUGACAUGUUAGGCUGUUACUCGCUAGCAGCAGAAAUAUUCAGCUUAUUCAUGCGGUAACAGCAGGGUCUGUUGCGCUGAAUCUUUGAGAUGAAACCAAACCAAACUAAUACAUACCUAGCAUCCGUCCAGAAGUCUUGAUUACGGAAUAUAUAUGGCCCCAUUUUAAGUUUCAGAGGAUAUACUCGAAUAUCUGUUGUUUUGUAGGGAUUUGAAAAAAAAAAGAAAAGAAAAAGCACUUAUAAUAAGGCAAUGGCUUCGUGAGAAAGCACAAGAAAUAUCGUUGCGCGGCAGCAAGGCAUACCUUAAUUUGCUUCAUGGUGAACUGGAAAUGUGCUUCUAUGUCAAACUGAAAAAAUAUAUAUGUUGUCAGGCUCGCAAUUAAUAAAGAUAUACUUUCAGCAGGUCAGGCUAGGAAUUAAUAAAGUUAUACUUGUUGAAAGUGACGCUAGAAACAACAAAAGGCUAUUUGGGUUAGAUAAAUGUCAUUGGAGUCUGAGAAGGUUGCACAAACACGAACCAGAUUAGAAGUAGGUCGGCAUAAAUUUUGUGUUUUUGUGAAGUUAAAUAAAAUUGACAUCAUAUAUACUAACGCGUAGUUCUUCUACUGUAUGCAGGACAUUCAAAAGGCAGUGACUGUUGCCUCUGCUGUAUCGACGACCCUGAUCAUGUUGGACAGAUAAAUAAGAUAUUACUACUCCCUCCGUUCCUAAAUAUUUGUCUUUCUAGAGAUUUCAAAUGGCUACCACAUACGGAUGUAUAUAGACAUAUUUUAGAGU
This 3443-nucleotide long non-coding RNA is filed under the name Triticum aestivum (bread wheat). RNAcentral's name for it is "long non-coding RNA (TAES_LNC015135)". Lineage: Eukaryota; Viridiplantae; Streptophyta; Magnoliopsida; Poales; Poaceae. The record is from RNAcentral.